RNAcentral lists this ribosomal RNA (322 nucleotides) under uncultured eukaryote. RNAcentral's name for it is "partial 18S ribosomal RNA". It matches the Rfam family "Eukaryotic small subunit ribosomal RNA", at positions 1470 to 1796 of the family's 1831-position model. The record is from RNAcentral.
CCCUUAGAUGUUCUGGGCCGCACGCGUGCUACACUGAGUGGAUCAGCGGGUCAGGCUGCGCGAAAGCGUUUCCUAAUCUUGAAAUCCGCUCGUGAUGGGGAUUGACGGUUGCAAUUUUCUGUCAUGAACGAGGAAUACCUUGUAAGCGCGAGUCAUCAUCCCGCGCUGAAUACGUCCCUGCCCUUUGUACACACCGCCCGUCGCUCCUACCGAUUGAGUGGUCCGGUGAGGCUUUGGGAUCUGAGCGGAAAGAGCGUUUCGCUCGUUCUGCCCGGAAAACUCAGUCGAACCUUAUCAUUUAGAGGAAGGAGAAGUCGUAACA